Molecule: unclassified non-coding RNA, 350 nt
Filed under: Hevea brasiliensis (rubber tree)
Lineage: Eukaryota; Viridiplantae; Streptophyta; Magnoliopsida; Malpighiales; Euphorbiaceae
Source: RNAcentral
GGAGCUGCUCGGAGUUGAAAACCUUUUCCUUCUUUUUGGGGCUAUAGCUUUGUUGUCACUGUUGUUCACCAUAGUCUUUGUCCCAGAAACUAAAGGUUUGAGCUUGGAAGAAAUUGAAUCUAAAAUCUUGAAGUGAAAGCUCACAACUGUUGGAAACUUCUGUUGUAUGUUUCCAGCAAACAAAAAAUUUAUGGGUAGUUUGUCAGCAUAUCUAGUUGUGGUGUAGGAAGGUGAUUGAAUGCAACCUCAACUACGUAUUUGUGAAUAUCAUAUCAUGUGGAAAUUAUGUAUUUUAGAAGCUGUUUGGUAAAUAAGAAUAUCCAAUGUAUAUUCUUAUUUACCAAACAGCU